GCCUGGUAGCGGGGAUAACUAUUGGAAACGAUAGCUAAUACCGCAUAAGAGUAGAUGUUGCAUGACAUUUGCUUAAAAGGUGCAAUUGCACCACUACCAGAUGGACCUGCGUUGUAUUAGCUAGUUGGUGGGGUAACGGCUCACCAAGGCGACGAUACAUAGCCGACCUGAGAGGGUGAUCGGCCACACUGGGACUGAGACACGGCCCAG
Molecule: ribosomal RNA, 210 nt
Filed under: uncultured Streptococcaceae bacterium
Lineage: Bacteria; Bacillati; Bacillota; Bacilli; Lactobacillales; Streptococcaceae
Description: partial 16S ribosomal RNA
Rfam family: Bacterial small subunit ribosomal RNA
Source: RNAcentral